ACGUGUUCUCUCGGAGAAGAAGGGGGAAGCGGCCCGGGAGAGACUUUUUAUAGUCCGCCCAGCACCGCGAGAUUACCCCUGGGCCUCGCGAGCGCGCCGAGCGCCAGGAGACAGCCUGUGAUUAGCUGGGCCGUUCCCGGCCCUUGCCGCGCGCUGUGUGCGCAUGUGCGUCCUGCCCGGCCGCGGCCCAGGCCCCACGUGACCGGAAGCGUGCUAUAAAUACCCGCGCCGUGGCCGCGCCUCUCUCUGCGGCUGCUGGUGGUGUGGGCUCUUCUGGUCCGAACUCCCGAUGACCUCGAGCCUGAGCCCACGUGUCCAGGACCGCGAAGGUGGGGGUGGUCUGGCUGUCCCCGUUUCUAAAUAAACCUGUUUAUCUGA
Molecule: long non-coding RNA, 378 nt
Organism: Tupaia belangeri chinensis (Chinese tree shrew)
Lineage: Eukaryota; Metazoa; Chordata; Mammalia; Scandentia; Tupaiidae
Exons: 2
Source: RefSeq, a predicted model, not a curated record